UACAGAGGCCCCGAGCGUUACCCGGAAUUACUGGGCGUAAAGGGUGUGUAGGUGGCUAUGUUAGUCCCGCGUUAAAGCCUGGAGCUUAACUCCAGAGAUGCGUGGGAAACGGCACAGCUAGAGGAUGUGAGGGGUGUACGGAACUCACGGUGUAGGGGUGAAAUCCGUUGAUAUCGUGGGGAACACCAAAAGCGAAGGCAGUACACUGGCGCAUUCCUGACACUGAGACACGAAAGCGUGGGUAGCGAACGGG
Molecule: unclassified non-coding RNA, 253 nt
Filed under: uncultured Parcubacteria group bacterium
Lineage: Bacteria
Description: contains 16S-23S intergenic spacer region
Rfam family: Bacterial small subunit ribosomal RNA
Source: RNAcentral